GAAAUUUGGCAGGACGACCGGGCCUGGUGAAAAAUUCGAUAUUCUGAAGUCGCCCAAACAAUAAAAUGCAAAAUGGCUCCAUAGCGCCCCCUAAGGCGAAAAUUCACACUAUUGACUGUCACGCCUGUACGCUUUGUCAUUUUGACACAAAAAUUGACACACACGUGUAUCUCAAUACGGUCUACGAAAAAGUCAGUGCGGGCGCAUCUGUGAAAUGUACGGUUAGAGGGUUAUUUCGCAUUUUUUCCCGAUCCGCACACAUUGGAAUUUCGCUAACUCCUCCGAAGGCUUAAGUUCCACCGCCACCAAAUUUGCUCAGGCCAAUCUACACCCCAUGGCCAUUAAAAGUUGUACAAAUCAUGACGCUGCACUCCACGGUUUACGUUCUAGGGGGCGCCAAAGAUAACCCAAAAAUCCACAUUCUUAAUAGUCUUAUAACUUUUUAUUUUUGUCCUCACUGGCCUCCAAGUUUUCUAGGAUGAUGCAAUGUCCAGCCAUCAACACAUUUGUAAAGGAAUUUUUACUCCCGAAAAGGGCGCCCCCCCAUGGCAGGAGAAAAAAGUACAUUUUUUCUUGUCCCCUAAGGUGAAAAAACACAUUGUUGACUGUCACGCCUAUACGCUUUGUCAAAAUGACACAAAAUUUGACACACACGUGUAUCUCAAUAAGAUCUACGAAAAAGUCAAUGGGCACGUAUCUGUAAAAUCUACGGUUAAAGGGCUAUUUCGCAUUUUUUGCCGAUUCGCACACAUUGGAAUGUGGCUAACUCCUCCUAAGGCUUUCUUCCCACCGACACCAAAUUUGCUCAAGCCGAUCUACAUCCCAUGGCCAUUCAAAGUUGUAAAAAUCAUGCCGCUGCACCCCAUGGUUUACGUUCUAGGGGGCGCCAAAGAUGACCCAAAUAUCCACAUUCUUAAAAGAAUCCACAUCCCCCCCCCCCCCAAGGCAGGAGAAAAAGUCCAGUUAACCCUGCCCAUCGCUCAAUGGCUCAAUCGCAUCGCUCUCCCGGCAACACCGUAAGGAGGAGCAACUUGCCAUUUGGAUAUAUCCUAGCUGUGUUUGUGCCCUCACUCAUGGUCCAGACUUUUUUCAAAUAGGACAUGUAGUUUGUCUGCAGCGGCCGUUUUGGUAGAAACUGCGCCUCCCAUUCAUUAUAAUGGGAAAUGACCACAGACAAGUGCGCACACCAUCUUUGGACCUUCAGUGUGAUGCAAUCGGGAGGGGGAGGCGGUCGCGCUGGGGGCGGCGCGACGCGGCUCGGGCCCGACAGUGCCCCACCGGGGCCCUAGUGUUGAGAUUCACGCCUGUACGCUUUGUCAUAUUGACACAAAAUUUGACAAUCACGUGUAUCUCAAUAAGAUCUACGAAAAAGUCAAUGCACAAAUAUCUGUAAAAUGUACGGUUAAAGGGCUAUUUCGAAUUUUUAGCCGAUUCACACACAUUGGAAUGUAGCUAACUCCUCCUAAGGCUUUCGUCCCAGUGACACCAAAUAUUUCAGGCCAAUCUACACCCCAUGGCCAUUCAAAGUUGUAAAAAUCAUGACGCUGCACCCCACGGUUUACGUUCUAGGGGGCGCCAAAAAUGACCCAAAUAUCCAUAUUCUUAAAAGUGUUAGAACAUUUCAUUUUUGUCCUCACUGGACUCCAUGUUUUCUAGGAUGAUGCAAUGUCCAGCCAUCAACACAUUUGUGAAGGAGUUUUUUCUCGUUAAAAGAGCGCCCCCCCAUGGCAGGAGAAUAAAGUCAAGUUUUUCCUGUUCAUAGUUCAAUGGCUCAAACGCACUGCUCUCUCGGCAAAAGCGAAAGGAGGAGCAACUUGCCGUUUGGAUAUUUCCUAGCUGUGUUUGUGCCCUCAUGGUCCAGACUUUUUUCAAAUAGGACAUGUAGUUUGUCUGCAGCCAGCGUUUCGGUAGAAACUGCGCCUCCCAUUCAUUAUAAUGGGAAAUGACCAAAGACAGGUGUGCACACUAUCUUUGGACCUCGACUGUGACGUCACAGUUUGACAUUUAAAUGUUAUUUGACCUCUGACCUUUGGUGGAGACGUGAACCUUUCAACCUGCAAAAACGGCGUUUCAAUAGCUCUUACGGCUUUUCUACAAAUACACUUUGUUCUGCUGCUCCUACUGUCUCUUCAGAGCUUAGGAUACACAAACACACACAUACACACACACACACACACACACACACAGAGUCUGUUUUUUAGCACCUGCAAAAACAUGCUAUUUACAUAUUUGACAAGAAUGCAGGGGCUUCCUUUUGCCCCUGAAAAAAAUCAAAUUUCAAACACAACUUGACUGCUCAUUUCUCCAAAAGACAACCAUGAAGCUCCAUCCAAACCUAAAGCAGGCAGUUGGUGCAUGUGUACAGUAACCUGAGGGGACUGAGGUGACUGCUUCUGAGGAGAACAUGAGCAGUGAAGAUUCACCUUGGAGAUAGAACAGGGACGUGCACAUGAUUAUACAGGGGCAGGGGCUCAAGUUUUUUCCAGUCGUUUAUACAAUAUGGAAAUUAAUGUGAAAUUAAAAAACAAAGUAUUAAUAGAAAGGUAAUGACUGUCCUGUGUAGGUGACAGUGAUAUCCAAUAGGCUAGGCACUCACGAGGCUGGCUGUGGCAAGUGUAAGUGAAAGCAACACGCACUGGCAGGAAGAACAGCAAACACCGAUGAAGGAAAAGGGUCUUUGCAGUGAUGGGCGCUACCAGAGAGGGCGAUGGCCAGAGGACGUGAAUGGGACGGGGAGGCAGCCCGUUGGGGGGGGGGGGGGGGGGGGGCGACACGGCUCGGGCCCGCCAGUGCCCCAACGGGGCCCUAGUUCGUUAUUAUUUUUCCUCCGCUUUAAACUGGAAAAUGGCCCACUUCCCACUAGCGACAACUCAGGAAAUUUGGCAGGACGACCGGGCCUGGUGAAAAAUUCGAUAUUCUGAAGUCGCCCAAACAAUAAAAUGCAAAAUGGCUCCAUAGCGCCCCCUAAGGUGAAAAUUCAUAUGACGGCUGUACGCUUUGUCAUAUUGAAACAAAAAUUGACACACACAUGUAUCUCAAUAAGAUCUACAAAAAAGUCAGUGCGGGCGUAUCUGUCAAAUGUACGGUUAAUGGGUUAUUUUGCAUUUUUUGCAGAUCUGCACACAUUGGAAUUUCGCUAACUCCUCCAAAGGCUUUCGUUCGACCGGCACCACAUUUGCGCAGGCCAAUCUACCCCCCAUGGCCAUUAAAAGUUGUACAAAUCAUGACGCUGCACCCCACGGUUUACGUUCUAGGGGGCGCCAAAGAUAACCCAAAAAUCCACAUUCUUAAAAGUCUUAUAACUUUUUACUUUUGUCCUCACUGGCCUUCAAGUUUUCUAGGAUGAUGCAAUGUCCAGCCAUCAACACAUUUGUGAAGGAAUUUUUACUCCCCAAAAGAGCUCCCCCCAAUGGCAGGAGAAAAAGGUCCAUUUUUUCUUGUCCGCUAACAUGAAAAUACACAUUGUAGAGUGUCACGCCUGAACGCUUUGUCAUAUUGACAAAAAAUUUGACACACACGUGUAUCUCAAUAAGAUCUACGAAAAAGUCAAAGGGCAUGUAUCUGUCAAAUGUACGGUUAAAGGGCUAUUUUGCAUUUUUUGCCGAUCCGCACACAUUGGAAUUUCGCUAACUCCUCCGAAGGCUAUCUUUCCACCGGCACCAAAUUUGCUCAGGCCAAUCUACACCCCAUGGCCAUUAAAAGUUGUACAAAUCAUCUUGCUGCACCCCACGGUUUGGGUUCUAGGGGGCACCAAAUAUAACCCAAAAAUCCACAUUCUUAAAAGUCUUAUAACUUUUUAUUUUUUUUCAUACUGGCCUCUAAGUUUUUUAGGAUGAUGCAAUGUCCAGCCAUCAACACAUUUGUGAAGAAAUUUUUACUCCCCAAAAGAGCGCCCCCCCAUGGCAGGAGAAAAAAGUCCAUUUUUUCUUAUCCCGAAAGGUGAAAAUUCACGUUGUUGAGUGUCACGCCUUUACGCUUUGUCAUAUUGACAAAAAAUUUGAAAAUCACGUGUAUCUCAAUAAGAUCUAUGAAAAAGUCAAUGGGCACGUAAGUGUAAAAUGUACAGUUAAAGGGCUAUUUUGCAUUUUUUGCCGAUUCGCACACAUUGGAAUUUCGCUAAGUCCUCCUAAGGCUUUCGUCCCACUGACACCAAAUUUGCUCAGGCCAAUCUACACUCCAUGGCCAUUCAAAGUUGUACAAAUCAUGACGCUGCACCCCACGGUUUAGGUUCUAGGGGGCGCCAAAGAUAACCCUAAAAUCCACAUAUUUAAAAGUCUUAUAACUUUUUAUUUUUGCCCUCACUGGCCUCCAAGUUUUCUAGGAUGAUGCAAUGUCCAGCCAUCAACACAUUUGUGAAGGAAUUUUUACUCCCCAAAAGAGCGCCCCCCCAUGGCAGGACAAAAAAGUCCAUUUUUUCUUGUCCACUAAGGUGAAAAUUCACACUAUUGACUGUCACGCCUGUACGCUUUGUCAUAUUGACACAAAAAUUGACACACACAUGUAUCUCAAUAAGAUCUACAAAAAAGUCAGUGCGGGCGUAUCUGUCAAAUGUACGGUUAAAGGGUUAUUUCGCAUUUUUUGCAGAUCCGCACACAUUGGAAUUUCGCUAACUCCUCCGAAGGCUUUCCUUCCACCGGCACCACAUUUGCUCAGGCCAAUCUACACCCCAUGGCCAUUAAAAGUUAUUCAAAUCAUGACGCUGCACCCCACGGUUUAGGUUCUAGGGGGUGCCAAAGAUAACCCUAAAAUCCACAUAUUUCAAAGUCUUAUAACUUUUUAUUUUUGUCCUCACUGGCCUCCAAGUUUUCUAGGAUGAUGCAAUGUCCAGCCAUCAACACAUUUGUGAAGGAAUUUUUACUCCCCAAAAGAGCGCCCCCCCAUGGCAGGAGAAAAAAGUCCAUUUUUUCUUGUCCCGUAAGGUGAAAAUUCACAUUGUUGAGUGUGACACCUGUACGCUUUGUCAUAUUGACACAAAAUUUGACAAUCACGUGUAUCUCAAUAAGAUCUACGAAAAAGUCAAUGGGUGCGUAUCUGUCAAAUGUACGGUUAGAGGGCUAUUUUGCAUUUUUGGCCAAUUCGCACACAUUGGAAUGUGGCUAACUCCUCCUAAGGCUUUCGUCCCACUGAAACCAAAUUUGCUCAGGCCAAUCUACACCCCAUGGCCAUUCAAAGUUGUAAAAAUCAUGACGCUGCACCCCACGGUUUACGUUCUAGGGGGCGCCAAAGAUGACCAAAAAAUCCACAUUCUUAAAAGAAUCCACAUUCUCCCCCCCGAUGGCACGAGAAAAAGUCAAGUUUUUCCUGCCCAUCGCUCAAUGGCUCAAUCGCAUCGCUCUCCAGGCAACACCGUAAGGAGGAGCAACCUGCCAUUUGGAUAUAUCCCAGCUGUGUUUGUGCCCUCACUCAUGGUCCAGACUUUUUUCAAACAGGACAUGAAGUUUGUCUGCAGCGAGUGUUUUGGUAGAAACUGCGCCUCCCAUUCAUUAUAGUGGGAAAUGACCACAGACAAGUGCGCACACCAUCUUUGGACCUUGAGUGUGACGCGAUCGGGAGGGGGAGGCGGUCACGCUGGGGGCGGCACGACGCGGCUCGGGCCCGACAGUGCCCCACCGGGGCCCUAGUUAUUAUUUUUCUGCCCCUUUGAACUGGAAAAUGGCCCACUUCCCACUGGUGAAAACUCAUGAAAUUUGGCAGGACGACCGGGGCUGGUGAAAAAUUCGAUAUUCUGAAGUCGGCCAAACAAUAAAAUGCAAAAUGGCUCCAUAGCGCCCCCUAAGGUGAAAAAUUCACAUGAUUGAGUGUCACACCUGUACGCUUUGUCAAAAUGACACAAAAUUUGACACACACGUGUAUCUCAAUAAGAUCUACAAAAAAGUCAGCGCGGGCGUAUCUGUCAAAUGUACGGUUAAAGGGCUAUUUUGCAUUUUUUGCCAAUCCGCACACAGUGGAAUUUCGCUAAACUCCUCCGAAGGCUUUCGUUCCACCGGCACCAAAUUUGCUCAGGCCAAUCUACACCCCAUGGCCAUUAAAAGUUGUACAAAUCAUGACGCUGCACCCCACGGUUUACGUUCUAGGGGGCACCAAAGAUAACCCAAAAAUCCACAGUCUUAAAAGUCUUAUUACUUUUUAUUUUUGUCCUCACUGGCCUCCAAGUUUUCUAGGAUGAUGCAAUGUCCAGCCAUCAACACAUUUGUGAAGGAAUUUUUACUCCCCAAAAGAGCGCCCCCCCAUGGCAGGAGAAAAAAGUCCAUUUUUUCUUGUCCCCUAAGGUGAAAAAACACAUUGUUGACUGUUACGCCUAUACGCUUUGUCAAAAUGACACAAAAUUUGACAAUCACGUGUAUCUCAAUAAGAUCUACGAAAAAGUCAAUGGGCACGUAUCUGUAAAAUGUACGGUUAAAGGGCUAUUUCGCAUUUUUUUGCCGAUUCGCACGCAUCGGAAUGUAGCUAACUCCUCCUAAGGCUUUCGUCCCACUGACACCAAAUUUUUGUCAGGCCAAUCUACACCCCAUGGCCAUUCAAAGUUGUAAAAAUCAUGACGCUGCACCCCACGGUUUACGUUUUAGGGGGCGCCAAAGAUUACCCAAAUAUCCAUAUUCUUUAAAGUGUUAAAACAUUUUAUUUUUGUCCUCACUAGCCUCCAUGUUUUCUAGGAUGAUGCAAUGUCCAGCCAUCAACACAUUUGUGAAGGACUUUUUUCUCGUUAAAAGAGCGCCCCCCCCCCCCAUGGCAGGAGAAUAAAGUCAAGUUUUUCCUGUUCAUCGUUCAAUGGCUCAAACACAUCGCUCUCUCGGCAAAAGCGAAAGGAGAAGCAAUUUGCCAUUUGGAUAUUUCCUAGCUGUGUUUGUGCCCUCACUCGUGGUCCAGACUUUUUUCAAAUAGGACAUGUAGUUUGUCUGCAGCCAGCGUUUCGGUAGAAACUGCGCCUCCCAUUCAUUAUAAUGGGAAAUGACCAAAGACAGGUGUGCACACUAUCUUUGGACCUUGACUGUGACGUCACAGUAUGACAUUCAAAUGUUAUUUGACCUCUGACCUUUGGUGGAGACGUGAACCUUUCAACCUGCAAAAACAGCGUUUCAAUAGCUCUUACGGCUUUUCUACAAAUACACUUUGUUCUGCUGCUCCUACUGUCUCUUCAGAGCUGCUUCACAGAUCAUCAAAGAGUGUGAAUGUGUGUAAUAAUAUAAUCAUUUUUAGUGACAAUGAUUUUUAGUGACAUCAUACAUUUGUUUUUUUCAGCAGAGGCAGCCACCUUAAAUGUUGACGUGUGUUUUCUGCAGUUGCAUCACAUGGCCACAGGGUGCCAGUGUUGGACUCAUUUUCCAGGGUCUAUUGUUGUUGCUAACAUGUAUUUGUAAAAUCAAACCCCUAUUUUUAUAAUAGAAAAUGUCCUGUGAAGAUUUGUCCACUGCAGUGACCGUUAUAUGUGAAAGGGUUAAUUGUGUAGUGGAAGUGUUUAGUGUUUAGGAUACACACACACAGACACACACACACACACAGACACACACACACACACACACACACACACACACACACACACACAGAGUCUGUUUUUUAGCACCUGCAAAAACAUGCUAUUUACAUAUUAGACAGGAAUGCAGAGGCUUGCCCCUGAAAAAAUCAAAUGUCAAACGCAAAUUGGCUGGUCAUUUCUCCAAAAGACAACCAUGAAGGGCUAUCUAAACCUGAAGCAUGCAGUUGCUGCAUGUGUACAGUAACCUGAGGGGAGUGAGGUGACUGCUUCUGAGGAGAACAUGAGCAGUGAAGAUUCACCUUAGAGCCAGAACAGGGAUGUGCACAUGAUUAUAGAGGGGCAGGGGCUCAAGUCUUUUCCAGUCCUUUAUACAAAAUGGAAAUUAAUGUGAAAUUAAAAAACAAAGUAUUAAUAGAAAGGUAAUGACUGUCCUGUGUAGAUGACAGUGAUAUCCAAUAGGCUAGGCACUCACGAGGCUGACUGUGGCAAGUGUAAGUGAAAGCAACACGCACUGGCAGGAAGAACAGCAAACGCCGAUGAAGGAAAAGGGUCCUUGCAGUGAUGGGCGUUACCAGAGAGGGCGAUGGCCAGAGGACGCGAAUGGGACGGGGAGGCAGCGCGUUGGGGGGGGGGGGGGGGGGGCGUGACACGGCUCGGGCCCGCCAGUGCCCCAACGGGGCCCUAGUUAUUAGGGCCCGAGCCAGCUGCAGAGCAGCCGGGCGUAGAGCCCUAUUAUUCCUGUAUAGGUUUUUCUUUCUUCUUUCUUUCUUUCUUUCUUCUUAUUUUUCCUCCCCUUUGAAGGGGAAAAUGGCCCACUUCCCACUGGCGAAAACUCAGGAAAUUUGGCAGGACGACCGGGCCUGGUGAAAAAUUCGAUAUUCUGAAGUCGCCCAAACAAUAAAAUGCAAAAUGGCUCCAUAGCGCCCCCUAAGGUGAAAAUUCACACUAUUGACUGUCACGCCUGUACGCUUUGUCAUAUUGACACAAAAAUUGACACACACAUGUAUCUCAAUAAGAUCUACGAAAAAGUCAAUGGGCACGUAUCUGUAAAAUGUACGGUUAAAGGGCUAUUUCGCAUUUUUUUGCCGAUUCGCACGCAUCGGAAUGUAGCUAACUCCUCCUAAGGCUUUCGUCCCACUGACACCAAAUUUUUGUCAGGCCAAUCUACACCCCAUGGCCAUUCAAAGUUGUAAAAAUCAUGACGCUGCACCCCACCGUUUACGUUUUAGGGGGCGCCAAAGAUUACCCAAAUAUCCAUAUUCUUUAAAGUGUUAAAACAUUUUAUUUUUGUCCUCACUAGCCUCCAUGUUUUCUAGGAUGAUGCAAUGUCCAGCCAUCAACACAUUUGUGAAGGACUUUUUUCUCGUUAAAAGAGCGCCCCCCCCCAUGGCAGGAGAAUAAAGUCAAGUUUUUCCUGUUCAUCGUUCAAUGGCUCAAACACAUCGCUCUCUCGGCAAAAGCGAAAGGAGAAGCAAUUUGCCAUUUGGAUAUUUCCUAGCUGUGUUUGUGCCCUCACUCGUGGUCCAGACUUUUUUCAAAUAGGACAUGUAGUUUGUCUGCAGCCAGCGUUUCGGUAGAAACUGCGCCUCCCAUUCAUUAUAAUGGGAAAUGACCAAAGACAGGUGUGCACACUAUCUUUGGACCUUGACUGUGACGUCACAGUAUGACAUUCAAAUGUUAUUUGACCUCUGACCUUUGGUGGAGACGUGAACCUUUCAACCUGCAAAAACAGCGUUUCAAUAGCUCUUACGGCUUUUCUACAAAUACACUUUGUUCUGCUGCUCCUACUGUCUCUUCAGAGCUGCUUCACAGAUCAUCAAAGAGUGUGAAUGUGUGUAAUAAUAUAAUCAUUUUUAGUGACAAUGAUUUUUAGUGACAUCAUACAUUUGUUUUUUUCAGCAGAGGCAGCCACCUUAAAUGUUGACGUGUGUUUUCUGCAGUUGCAUCACAUGGCCACAGGGUGCCAGUGUUGGACUCAUUUUCCAGGGUCUAUUGUUGUUGCUAACAUGUAUUUGUAAAAUCAAACCCCUAUUUUUAUAAUAGAAAAUGUCCUGUGAAGAUUUGUCCACUGCAGUGACCGUUAUAUGUGAAAGGGUUAAUUGUGUAGUGGAAGUGUUUAGUGUUUAGGAUACACACACACAGACACACACACACACACAGACACACACACACACACACACACACACACACACACAGAGUCUGUUUUUUAGCACCUGCAAAAACAUGCUAUUUACAUAUUAGACAGGAAUGCAGAGGCUUGCCCCUGAAAAAAUCAAAUGUCAAACGCAAAUUGGCUGGUCAUUUCUCCAAAAGACAACCAUGAAGCGCUAUCUAAACCUGAAGCAUGCAGUUGCUGCAUGUGUACAGUAACCUGAGGGGAGUGAGGUGACUGCUUCUGAGGAGAACAUGAGCAGUGAAGAUUCACCUUAGAGCCAGAACAGGGAUGUGCACAUGAUUAUAGAGGGGCAGGGGCUCAAGUCUUUUCCAGUCCUUUAUACAAAAUGGAAAUUAAUGUGAAAUUAAAAAACAAAGUAUUAAUAGAAAGGUAAUGACUGUCCUGUGUAGAUGACAGUGAUAUCCAAUAGGCUAGGCACUCACGAGGCUGACUGUGGCAAGUGUAAGUGAAAGCAACACGCACUGGCAGGAAGAACAGCAAACGCCGAUGAAGGAAAAGGGUCCUUGCAGUGAUGGGCGUUACCAGAGAGGGCGAUGGCCAGAGGACGCGAAUGGGACGGGGAGGCAGCGCGUUGGGGGGGGUGGGGGGGGGCGUGACACGGCUCGGGCCCGCCAGUGCCCCAACUGGGCCCUAGUUAUUAGGGCCCGAGCCAGCUGCAGAGCAGCCGGGCGUAGAGCCCUAUUAUUCCUGUAUAGGUUUUUCUUUCUUCUUUCUUUCUUUCUUUCUUUCUUCUUAUUUUUCCUCCCCUUUGAAGGGGAAAAUGGCCCACUUCCCACUGGCGAAAACUCAGGAAAUUUGGCAGGACGACCGGGCCUGGUGAAAAAUUCGAUAUUCUGAAGUCGCCCAAACAAUAAAAUGCAAAAUGGCUCCAUAGCGCCCCCUAAGGUGAAAAUUCACACUAUUGACUGUCACGCCUGUACGCUUUGUCAUAUUGACACAAAAAUUGACACACACAUGUAUCUCAAUAAGAUCUACAAAAAAGUCAGUGCGGGCAUAUCUGUCAAAUGUACGGUUAAAGGGUUAUUUCGCAUUUUUUGCAGAUCCGCACACAUUGGAAUUUCGCUAACUCCUCCGAAGGCUUUCGUUCCACCGGCACCACAUUUGCUCAGGCCAAUCUACACUCCAUGGCCAUUCAAAGUUGUACAAAUCAUGAUGCUGCACUCCAUGGUUUAGGUUCUAGGGGGCGCCAAAAAUAACCCAAAAAUCCACAUUCUUAAAAGUUUUAUAACUUUUUUUUUUUGUCCUCACUGGCCUCCAAGUUUUCUAGGAUGAUGCAAUGUCCAGCCAUCAACACAUUUGUAAAGGAAUUUUUACUCCCCAAAAGAGCGGCCCCCCAUGGCAGGACAAAAAAUCAAUUUUUUCUUGUCCCCUAAGGUGAAAAUACACAUUGUUGAGAUUCACGCCUGUAUGCUUUGUCAAAAUGACACAAAAUUUGACACACACGUGUAUCUCAAUAAGAUCUACGAAAAAGUCAAUGCGCGCGUAUCUGUAAAAUGUACGGCUAAACGGCUAUUUUGCAUUUUUUGCCGAUUCGCACACAUUGGAAUGUGGCUAACUCCUCCUAAGGCUUCCGGCCCACUGACACCAAAUUUGCUCAGGCCAAUCUACACCCCAUGGCCAGUCAAAGUUGUAAAAAUCAUGCCGCUGCACCCCAUGGUUUACGUUCUAGGGGGCGCCAAAGAUGACCCAAAUAUCCACAUUCUUAAAAGUCGUUUUGGCCACUGCAGGAGUACAGAGUACUGCAGGAUACACACACACAGACACACACACACACACACACACACACACACACACACUCACACACACACACACACACACACACACACACACACACACACACACACACACACACAUACACACUCAGAGUCUGUUUUUCAGCACCUGCAAAAACAUGCUAUUUACAUAUUUGACAACAAUGCAGAGACUUCCUUUUGCCCCUGAAAAAAAUGAAAUUUCAAACACAACUUGACUGCUCAUUUCUCCAAAAGACAACCAUGAAGCUCCAUCCAAACCUGAAGCAGGCAGUUGGUGCAUGUGUACAGUAACCUGAGGGGAGUGAGGUGACUGCUUCUGAGGAGAACAUGAGCAGUGAAGAUUCACCUUGGAGCUAGAACAGGGACGUGCACAUGAUUAUACAGGGGCAGGGGCUCAAGUUUUUUCCAGUCGUUUAGACAAUAUGGAAAUUAAUGUGAAAUUAAAAAACAAAGUAUUAAUAGAAAGGUAAUGACUGUCCUGUGUAGGUGACAGUGAUAUCCAAUAGGCUAGGCACUCACGAGGCUGGCUGUGGCAAGUGCAAGUGAAAGCCACACGCACUGGCAGGAAGAACGCCGAUGAAGGAAAAGGGUCUUCGCAGUGAUGGGCGUUACCAGAGAGGGCGAUGGCCAGAGGACGCGAAUGGGACGGGGAGGCAGCGCGUUGGGGGGGGGGGUGGCGGGGGGGGGGGGGGGCGACACAGCUCGGGCCCGCCAGUGCCCCAACGGGGCCCUAGUUUGUUAUUAGGGCCCGAGCGUAGCUGCUAAGCAGCUGCGAGAGCCCUAUUAUUCCCCAAGUGGUUUUUCUUUGUUUCUUUCUUUCUUUCUUUCUUUCUUUCUUCUUUUUCCUCCCCUUUGAACUGGAAAAUGGCCCACUUCCCACUGGCGAAAACUCAUGAAAUUUGGCAGGACGACCGGGCCUGGUGAAAAAUUCGAUAUUCUGAAGUCGCCCAAACAAUAAAAUGCAAAAUGGCUCCAUAGCGCCCCCUAAGGUGGAAAUUCACACUAUUGACUGUCACGCCUGUACGCUUUGUCAUAUUGACACAAAAAUUGACACACAUAUGUAUCUCAAUAAGAUCUACAAAAAAGUCAGUGCGGCCGUAUCUGUCAAAAUUACGGUUAAAGGGUUAUUUCGCAUUUUUUGCCGAUCCGCACACAUUGGAAUUUCGCUAACUCCUCCGAAGGCUUUCGUUCCACCGGCACCACAUUUGCUCAGGCCAAUCUACACCCUGUGGCCAUUAAAAGUUAUCAAAAUCAUGACGCUGCACCCCAAGGUUUAGGUUCUAGGGGGCGCCAAAGAUAACACUAAAAUCCACAUAUUUAAAAGUCUUAUAACUUUUUAUUUUUGUCCUCACUGGCCUCCAAGUUUUCUAGGAUGAUGCAAUGUCCAGCCAUCAACACAUUUGUGAAGGAAUUUUUACUCCCCAAAAGAGCGCCCCCCCAUGGCAGGAGAAAAAAGUCCAUUUUUUCUUGUCCCAUAAGGUGAAAAUACACAUUGUUGACUGUCAUACCUGUACGCUUUGUCAUAUUGACACAAAAUUUGACACACACAUGUAUCUCAAUAAGAUCUACGAAAAAGUCAAUGCGCGCGUAUCUGUCAAAUGUACGGUUAAAGGGCUAUUUCGCAUUUUUUGCCGAUUAGCACACAUUGGAAUGUGGCUAACUCCUCCUAAGGCUUUCGUCCCACUGACACCAAAUUUGCUCAGGCCAAUCUACACCCCAUGGCCAUUCAAAGUUGUAAAAAUCAUGACGCUGCACCCCACGGUUUACGUUCUAGGGGGCGCCAAAGAUGACCCAAAUAUCCACAUUCUUAAAAGAAUCCACACCCCCCCCCCCCCCCAUCCCCCAUCCCCCAUCCCCCAUGGCAGGAGAAACAGUCAAGUUUUUCCUGCCCAUCACUCAAUGGCUCAAUCGCAUCGCUCUCCCGGCAACACCGUAACGAGGAGCAACUUGCCGUUUGGAUAUAUCCUAGCUGUGUUUGUGCCCUCACUCAUGGUCCAGACUUUUUUCAAAUAGGACAUGAAGUUUGUCUGCAGCGAGUGUUUUGGUAGAAACUGCGCCUCCCAUUCAUUAUAAUGGGAAAUGACCACAGACAAGUGCGCACACCAUCUUUGGACCUUGAGUGUGACGCGAUCGGGAGGGGGAGGCGGUCGCACUGGGGGCGGCGCAACGCGGCUCGGGCCCGCCAGUGCCCCAACGGGGCCCUAGUUAUUAUUAGGGCCCGAGCGUAGCUGCUAAGCAGCUGCGAGAGCCCUAUUAUUCCCCAAGUGGUUUUUCUUUGUUUCUUUUUAGGGCCCGAGCCAGCUGCAGAGCAGCCGGGCGUAGAGCCCUAUUAUUCCUGUAGUGGUUUUUCUUUGUUUCUUUCUUUCUUUUUUCUUUUUCCUCCCCUUUGAACUGGAAAAUGGCCCACUUCCCACUGGCCAAAACUCAUGAAAUUUGGCCAGACGACCGGGCCUGGUGAAAAAUUCGAUAUUCUGAAGUCGCUUAAACAAUAAAAUGCAAAAUGGCUCCAUAGCGCCUCCUAAGGUGAAAAUUCACACUAUUGACUGUCACGCCUGUACGCUUUGUCAAAAUGACACAAAAAUUGACACACACAUGUAUCUCAAUAAGAUCUACAAAAAAGUCAGUGCGGGCGUAUCUGUCAAAUGUACGGUUAAAGGGUUAUUGCGCAUUUUUUGCCAAUCCGCACACAUUGGAAUUUCGCUAACUCCUCCGAAGGCUUUCGUUCCACCGGCACCAUAUUUGCUCAGGCCAAUCUACACCCCAUGGCCAUUAAAAGUUAUUCAAAUCAUGACGCUGCACCCCACGGUUUAGGUUCUAGGGGGCGCCAAAGAUAACCCUAAAAUCCACAUAUUUAAAAGUCUUAUAACUUUUUAUUGUUGUCCCCACUGGCCUCCAAGUUUUCUAGGAUGAUGCAAUGUCCAGCCAUCAACACAUUUGUGAAGGAAUUUUUACUCGCCAAAAGAGCGCCCCCCCAUGGCAGGAGAAAAAAGUCAAUUUUUUCUUGUCCCCUAAGGUGAAAAUACACAUUGUUGAGUGCUACGCCUGUAUGUUUUGUCGUAUUGACACAAAAUUUUACAUACACGUGUAUUUCAAUAAGAUCUUCGAAAAAGUCAAUGGCCACGUAUCUGUAAAAUGUACGGUUAAAGGGUUAUUCCGCAUUUUUUGCCGAUCCGCACACAUUGGAAUGUGGCUAACUCCUCCUAAGGCUUUCGUUCCACCGGCACCACAUUUGCUCAGGCCAAUCUACACCCCAUGGCCAUUAAAAGUUAUUCAAAUCAUGACGCUGCACCCCACGGUUUAGGUUCUAGGGGGCGCCAAAGAUAACCCUAAAAUCCACAUAUUUAAAAGUCUUAUAACUUUUUAUUGUUGUCCCCACUGGCCUCCAAGUUUUCUAGGAUGAUGCAAUGUCCAGCCAUCAACACAUUUGUGAAGGAAUUUUUACUCGCCAAAAGAGCCCCCCCCCCCCCCCCCAUGGCAGGAGAAAAAAGUCCAUUUUUUCUUGUCCCCUAAGGUGAAAAUACACAUUGUUGAGUGUCACGCCUGAACGCUUUGUCAUAUUGACAAAAAAAUUGACAAUCAUAUGUAUCUCAAUUAGAUCUACGAAAAAGUCAAAGAGCGCGUAUCUGUAUAAUGUACGGUUAAAGGGCUAUUUCGCAUUUUUUGCCGAUUCGCACACAUUGGAAUGUGGCUAUCUCCUCCUAAGGCUUUCGUCCCACCGAUACCAAAUUUGCUCAGGGCAAUCUACACCCCAUGCCCAUUCAAAGUUGUAAAAAUCAUGACGCUGCACCCCACGGUUUACGUUCUAGGGGGCGCCAAAGAUGACCCAAAAAUCUACAUUCUUAAAAGUCAUUUUGGCCACUGCAGGAGUACAGAGUACAGCAGUUCUAGGGGGCGCCAAAGAUGACCCAAAAAUCCACAUUCUUAAAAGUCUUUUUGGCCACUGUAGGAGUACAGAGUACUGCAGGAUACACACACAUAUACACACACGCCAACACACACAUACACACACACACACACACACACACACACACACACACACUCAGAGUCUGUUUUUUAGCACCUGCAAAAACAUGCUGUUUACAUAUUUGACAAGAAUGCAGAGGCUUCCUUUUGCCCCUGAAAAAAAUCAAAUUUCAAACACAACUUGACUGUUCAUUUCUCCAAAAGACAACCAUGAAGCUCCAUCCAAACCUGAAGCAGAUAGUUGGUGCAUGUGUACAGUAACCUGAGGGGAGUGAGGUGACUAUUUCUGAGGAGAACAUGAGCAGUGAAGAUUCACCUUGGAGCUAGAACAGGGACGUGCACAUGAUUAUACAGGGGCAGGGGCUCAAGUUUUUUCCAGUCAUUUAUACAAUAUGGAAAUUAAUGUGAAAUUAAACCACAAAUAUGUGUGAUGAACUGUUUUUAAAACUUAAACUUCAAAUAAAAAUUGUAAACUUCAAAACAUAUGCAAAUUUUUAACAAAGAACAUAGUAAUUUACCUCUAUUUACAUCAAAAUGCAGGCAAUGGCCCAGGCAUUCUUUGUAAAAUUAUUUACAAAACACUGUAUAGUCUCACAAAUGUCACUUUUUAUUUAUGCCACUACAAAAAAACAUGAUGUAAAUGAUGCAUGAUGUAAAACAUGAUGUAAAAAACUUGUGUAGAUCCUCCUCUAUGUCAGUCCAUGUGUAAUUUUUCCAUAAUUCUUUGUUUUUUGCAGCAUUUUUGUUAGUGUAACUGCAGAUUGUGCUGACAGUGUCUAUGGCAAAAAAAAAAAAAAAAAAACUGAAAAUGCCUCAACAUGAACCCCUGGUGGUCUCUGAGGGUGAAACCUGCUAACUGCUGCAGCUCUGUCAGCUUUAGUCUCCCAUGCAGAGCUCGGAGCGCAUGUGUGGCUCUGCACCCUUAGCAGCGUUGCUAACUCCUCAGUAAGGAAAGCCUGCUUCAUGUCAGAGUCUCUAAACUCCAGAAGAAGUCGAUAAAAGUCCCUUUCUUUCUUAAAAAAAAGUCGUUAGGGGGUCUGAAAAGUCAUUGAAUCUAACAACAAAGUCGCUAGGUUUGCAACUACGUGUCCCAGACUGCAUCCCUGCUGAGAGUUCCUCCCUCCCUUCUCAUGUUGCAGGAAGAACGUAAGCGCCCGCCCCUUGUCAAUCAGUCACCAUAUAAUUUUGGAUUGGUUGUUGUGGUGAAGUUUUCCACCAAUAGGAGAGAUGUUGUGGUGUGUUGUUUUUUUUCUUUGGCAAGCCUUUUCCGCCUGUAAGACCUGUCGCUAAUGUCUGCAUGCUAUGUUAUCCUGUCUCAUACAGCGCGAUCGAGCGCCGAACGUGAUCAAAAUAAGCAGAAAAAAAGUAUCGCGGACAUAAUUUAUCAUAACUCUGGUUUUAUUUGGCCUAUCAACACAAUUUGAAAACUGGUGUAUAGUUUGAGGUCCUCACUUUUGAGAUAAGUUGAAACGGAGAGUCAACGAGGCUCCGUCUUGCUGCUACAUCCGGUUAAAUAUGUAAUGUGACUUGAACGCUGGGGAGCGUCAAUCGACUGCAGAGCCAGCAGACAAAGUAGUUGUGGCCACUGAAAGGCACAUAUUUGUCAUAUGCUAUAAUCCUAACAUAUUUUAAUGCUUUUUCUAUUUAAACCUAAUGGAUCUAAGGUUUGACCUUCAAAAUUUAGGAAGGAUAUGUUUUUGCAGUAAUGACCCCCUUAAACAACCAGAGGUCCUUUCCUAAAGUUUAUGGAAAUUUUAGUGAAGGCCUUGGUUUCUUUCCUUGCAAAAUGUAUAGAAAUAAUAAAGCUAAAUACCAUAAAAUGGUCUUGGCGUAUUAGCAGUGAUAUAAAAUAGUGGUUUGAAUAUGAAUGAACAACAACAAAAAAAACCAUCAACAGAGCCUUUUUGAGUUGGGAUUCUUUCAUUAUCACACAAAAACAGACAUAGACAGACAUCUAAAGGGUAAGGGAAUAAUCAGCCCUCCUAACUCUCAGAUGAAUCUUCAAAAUUCACCUCAGAAAUAUGCUUAUUAUUCUUCUCAGAGUACUGCAGGAUAUACACACACACACACUCAGAGUCUUUUUUUUAGCACCUGCAAAAACAUGCUAUUUACAUAUUUGACUAGAAUGCAGAGGCCCCUUUUUGCCCCUGAAAAAAAUCAAAUUUCAAACACAACCUGACUGCUCAUUUCUCCAAAAGACAACCAUGAAGCUCCAUCCAAACCUGAAGCAGGCAGUUGGUGCAUGUGUACAGUAACCUGAGGGGAGUGAGGUGACUGCUUCUGAGGAGAACAUGAGCAGUGAAGAUUCACCUUGGAGCUAGAACAGAGACAUGCACAUGAUUAUACAGGGGCAGGGGCUCAAGUUUUUUCCAGUCGUUUAUACAAUAUGGAAAUUAAUGUGAAAUUAAAACACAAAGUAUUAAUAGAAAGGUAAUGACUGUCCUGUGUAGGUGACAGUGAUAUCCAAUAGGCUAGGCACUCACGAGGCUGGCUGUGGCAAGUGUAAGUGAAAGCAACAUGCACUGGCAGGAAGAACAGCAAACGCCGAUGAAGGAAAAGGGUCUUUGCAGUGAUGGGCGUUACCAGAGAGGGCGAUGGCCAGAGGACACAAAUGGGACGGGGAGGCAGCACGUUGGGGGGGGGGGGGCGACACGGCUCGGGCCCGCCAGUGCCCCAACGGGGUCCUAGUUAGGGCCCGAGCGUAGCUGCUAAGCAGCUGCGAGAGCCCUCUUGUUCCUGUAGUUUCCUUCUUUUGUUAUUAGGGCCCGAGCGUAGCUGCUAAGCAGCUGCGAGAGCCCUCUUGUUCCUGCAUGUUUCCUUCUUUUGUUAUUAUUAGGGCCCGAGCGUAGCUGCUAAGCAGCUGCGAGAGCCCUAUUAUUCCCCAAGUGGUUUUUCUUUGUUUCUUUCUUUCUUUCUUUAGGGCCCGAGCGUAGCUGCUAAGCAGCUGCGAGAGCCCUCUUGUUCCUGAUGGAUUCUUCUUUCGUUAUUUUUCCUCCGCUUUAAACUGGAAAAUGGCCCACUUCCCACUGGCGAAAACUCAUGAAAUUUGGCAGGACGACCGGGCCUGGUGAAAAAUUCGAUAUUCUGAAGUCGCCCAAACAAAAAAAUGAAAAAUGGCUCCAUAGCGCCCCCUAUGGUGAAAACUCACCUGACGCCUGUACGCUUUGUCAAAAUGACACAAAAUUUGACACACAUGUGUAUCUCAAUAAGAUCUACAAAAAAGUCAGUGCGGGCGUAUCUGUCAAAUGUACGGUUAAAGGGCUAUUUCGCAUUUUUUGCCGAUCCGCACACAUUGGAAUUUCGCUAACUCCUCCGAAGGCUUUCGUUCCACCGGCAACAAAUUUGCUCAGGACAAUCUACACCCCAUGGCCAUUAAAAGUUGUACAAAUCAUGACGCUGCACCCCACGGUUUACAUUUUAGGGGGCGCCAAAGAUAACCCAAAAAUCCACAGUCUUAAAAGUCUUAUAACUUUUUAUUUUUGUCCUCACUGGCCUCCAAGUUCUCUAGGAUGAUGCAAUAUCCAGCCAUCAACACAUUUGUGAAGAAAUUUUUACUCCCCAAAAGAGCGCCCCCCCAUGGCAGGAGAAAAAAGUCCAUUUUUUCUUGUCCCCUAAGGUGAAAAUACACAUUGUUGAGUGUCAUGCCUGAACGCUUUGUCAUAUUGACACAAAAUUUGACACACACGUGUAUCUCAAUAAGAUCUACGAAAAAGUCAAAGAGCGCGUAUCUGUAUAAUGUACGGUUAAAGGGCUAUUUCGCAUUUUUUGCCGAUCCGCACACAUUGGAAUUUUGCUAACUCCUCCGAAGGCUUUCGUUCCACCGGCACCAAAUUUGCUCAAGCAAAUCUACACCCCAUGGCCAUUAAAAGUUGUACAAAUCAUGACGCUGCACCCCACGGUUUAGGUUCUAGGGGGCGCCAAAUAUAACCCAAAAAUCCACAUUCUUAAAAGUCUUAUAACUUUUUAUUUUUGUCCUCACUGGCCUCCAAGUUUUCUAGGAUGAUGCAAUGUCCAGCCAUCAACACAUUUGUGAAGGAAUUUUUACUCCCCAAAAGAGCGCCCCCCCAUGGCAGGAGAAAAAAGUCCAUUUUUUCUUGUCCCAUAAGGUGAAAAUACACAUUGUUGAGUGUCACGCCUGUACGCUUUGUCAAAAUGACACAAAAUUUGACAAUCACGUGUAUCUCAAUAAGAUCUAUGAAAAAGUCAUGCGCAAAUAUCUGUAAAAUGUACGGUUAAAGGGCUAUUUUGCAUUUUUUGCCGAUUCGCACACAUUGGAAUGUCGCUAACUCCUCCUAAGGCUUUCGUCCCACUGACACCAAAUUUGCUCAGGCCAAUCUACACCCCAUGGCCAUUCAAAGUUGUAAAAAUCAUGACGCUGCACCCCACGGUUUACAUUCUAGGGGGUGCCAAAGAUGACCCAAAUAUCCACAUUCUUAAAAGAAUCCACAUCCCCCCCCCUCCCCCCAUGGCAGGAGAAAAAGUCAAGUUUUUCCUGCCCAUCGCUCAAUGGCUCAAUCGCAUCGCUCUCUCGGCAAAAGCGAAAGGAGGAGCAACUUGCCAUUUGGAUAUAUCCUAGCUGUGUUUGUGCCCUCACUCAUGGUCCAGACUUUUUUCAAAUAGGACAUGUAGUUUGUCUGCAGCGAGUGUUUUGGUAGAAACUGCGCCUCCCAUUCAUUAUAAUGGGAAAUGACCACAGACAAGUGCGCACUCCAUCUUUGGACCUAGAGUGUGACGCGAUCGGGAGGUGGAGGCGGUCGCGCUGGGGGCGGCGCGACGCGGCUCGGGCCCGACAGUGCCCCACCGGGGCCCUAGUUCUUUCUUUCUUUCUUCUUUUUCCUCCCCUUUGAACUGGAAAAUGGCCCACUUCCCACUGGCGAAAACUCAUGAAAUUUGGCAGGACGACCGGGCCUGGUGAAAAAUUCGAUAUUCUGAAGUCGCCCAAACAAUAAAAUGCAAAAUGGCUCCAUAGCGCCCCCUAAGGUGAAAAUACACAUUGUUGAGUGUCAAGCCUAUACGCUUUGUCAAAAUGACACAAAAAUUGACACACACAUGUAACUCAAUAAGAUCUACGAAAAAGUCAAUGCGCGCGUAUCUGUCAAAUGUACGGUUAAAGGGUUAUUCCGCAUUUUUUGCCGAUCCGCACACAUUGGAAUGUGGCUAACUCCUCCUAAGGCUUUCGUUCCACCGGCACCACAUUUGCUCAGGCCAAUUUACACCCCAUGGCCAUUAAAAGUUAUUCAAAUCAUGACGCUGCACCCCACGGUUUAGGUUCUAGGGGGCGCCAAAGAUAACCCUAAAAUCCACAUAUUUAAAAGUCUUAUAACUUUUUAUUUUUGUCCUCACUGGCCUCCAAGUUUUCUAGGAUGAUGCAAUGUCCAGCCAUCAACACAUUUGUGAAGGAAUUUUUACUCCCCAAAAGAGCGCCCCCCCAUGGCAGGAGAAAAAAGUCCAUUUUUUCUUGUCCCCUAAGGUGAAAAUACAUAUUGUUGAGAUUCACGCCUAUACGCUUUGUCAUAUUGACACAAAAUUUUACAUACACGUGCCUUGCCUGGUAUCAUUUUUUUCAGCACAACCUCACCUGUGCGAAUUUACAGUUAUUUUAUCAUGUUGACAUACUGAAUUUACACAAUGGACCCAAAUUCACACACAAAACAUAAAAUCCGAGUGGAAAAAAGUAACAUUUUUACUGUGAAAACCACAAAUAUGUGUGAUGAACUGUUUUUAAAACUUAAACUUCAAAUAAAAAUUGUAAACUUCAAAACAUAUGCAAAUUUUUAACAAAGAACAUAGUGAUUUACCUCUAUUUACAUCAAAAUGCAGGCAAUGGCCCAGGCGUUCUUUGUAAAAUUAUUUACAAAACACUGUAUAGUCUCACAAAUGUCACUUUUUAUUUAUGCCACUACAAAAAAACAUGAUGUAAAUGAUGCAUGAUGUAAAACAUGAUGUAAAAAACUUGUGUAGAUCCUCCUCUAUGUCAGUCCAUGUGUAAUUUUUCCAUAAUUCUUUGUUUUUUGCAGCAUUUUUGUUAGUGUAACUGCAGAUUGUGCUGACAGUGUCUAUGGCACAAAAAAAAAAAAAAUUAAAAUGCCUCAACAUGAACCCCUGGUGGUCUCUGAGGGUGAAACCUGCUAACUGCUGCAGCUCUGUCAGCUUCAGUCUCCCAUGCAGAGCUCGGAGCGCAUGUGUGGCUCUGCACCCUUAGCAGCGUUGCUAACUCCUCAGUAAGGAAAGCCUGCUUCAUAUCAGAGUCUCUAAACUCCAGAAGAAGUCGAUAAAAGUCCCUUUCUUUCUAAAAAAAAGUCGUUAGGGGGUCUGAAAAGUCAUUGAAUCUAACAACAAAGUCGCUAGGUUUGCAACUACGUGUCCCAGACUGCAUCCCUGCUGAGAGUCCCUCCCUCGCUUCUCAUGUUGCAGGAAGAACGUAAGCGCCCGCCCCUUGUCAAUCAGUCACCAUAUAAUUUUGGAUUGGUUGUUGUGGUGAAGUUUUCCACCAAUAGGAGAGAUGUCGUGGUGUGUUUUUUUUUUCUUUUGGCAAGCCUUUUCCGCCUGUAAGACCUGUCGCUAAUGUCUGCAUGCUAUGUUUUCCUGUCUCAUACAGCACGAUCGAGCGCCGAACGUGAUCAAAAUAAGCAGAAAAAAAGUAUCGCGGACAUAAUUUAUCAUAACUCUGGUUUUAUUUGGCCUAUCAACACAAUUUAAAAACUGGUAUAUAGGUUGAGGUCCUCACUUUUGAGAUAAGUUGAAACGGAGAGUCAACGAGGCUCCGUCUUGCAGCUACAUCUGGUUAAAUAUGUCAUGUGACUUGAACGCACACACACACACACACACACUCACUCAGAGUCUGGUUUUUAGCACCUGCAAAAACAUGCUAUUUACAUAUUUGACAAGAAUGCAGAGGCUCCUUUUGCCCCUGAAAAAAAUCAAAUUUCAAACACAACUUGACUGCUCAUUUCUCCAAAAGACAACCAUGAAGCUCCAUCCAAACCUGAAGCAGGCAGUUGGUGCAUGUGUACAGUAACCUGAGGGGAGUGAGGUGAGUGCUUCUGAGGAGAACAUGAGCAGUGAAGAUUCACCUUGGAGCUAGAACAGAGACAUGCACAUGAUUAUACAGGGGCAGGGGCUCAAGUUUUUUCCAGUCGUUUAUACAAUAUGGAAAUUAAUGUGAAAUUAAAACACAAAGUAUUAAUAGAAAGGUAAUGACUGUCCUGUGUAGGUGACAGUGAUAUCCAAUAGGCUAGGCGCUCACGAGGCUGGCUGUGGCAAGUGUAAGUGAAAGCAACACGCACUGGCAGGAAGAACAGCAAACGCCGAUGAAGGAAAAGGGUCUUUGCAGUGAUGGGCGUUACCAGAGAGGGCGAUGGCCAGAGGACACAAAUGGGACGGGGAGGCAGCACGUUGGGGGGGGGGACGCGACACGGCUCGGGCCCGCCAGUGCCCCAACGGGGUCCUAGUUAUUUUUCCUCCCCUUUGAACUGGAAAAUGGCCCACUUCCCACCCGCGAAAACUCAUGAAAUUUGGCAGGACGACCGGGCCUGGUGAAAAAUUUGAUAUUCCGAAGUCGCCCAAACAAUAAAAUGCAAAAUGGCUCCAUAGCGCCCCCUAAGGUGAAAAUUCACACUAUUGACUGUCACGCCUGUACGCUUUGUCAAAAUGACACAAAAAUUGACACACACAUGUAUCUCAGUAAGAUCUACAAAAAAGUCAGUGCGGGCGUAUCUGUCAAAUGUACGGUUAAAGGGUUAUUUCGCAUUUUUUGCCGAUCCGCACACAUUGGAAUUUCGCUAACUCCUCCGAAGGCUUUCGUUCCACCGGCACCACAUUUGCUCAGGCCAAUCUACACCCCAUGGCCAUUAAAAGUUAUUCAAAUCAUGACGCUGCACCCCACGGUUUAGGUUCUAGGGGGCGCCAAAGAUAACACUAAAAUCCACAUAUUUCAAAGUCUUAUAACUUUUUAUUUUUGUCCUCACUGGCCUCCAAGUUUUCUAGGAUGAUGCAAUGUCCAGCCAUCAACACAUUUGUGAAGGAAUUUUUACUCCCCAAAAGAGCGCCCCCCCAUGGCAGGAGAAAAAAGUCCAUUUUUUCUUGUCCCCUAAGGUGAAAAUACACAUUGUUGAGUGUCACGCCUGUACGCUUUGUCAAAAUGACACAAAAAUUGACACACACAUGUAUCUCAAUAAGAUCUACAAAAAAGUCAAAGCGCGCGUAUCUGUCAAAUGUACGGUUAAAGGGUUAUUCCGCAUUUUUUGCCGAUUCGCACACAUUGGAAUUUCGCUAACUCCUCCGAAGGCUUUCGUUCCACCGGCACCACAUUUGCUCAGGCCAAAUUACACCCCAUGGCCAUUAAAAGUUAUUCAAAUCAUGACGCUGCACCCCACGGUUUACGUUCUAGGGGGCGCCAAAGAUAACCCAAAAAUCCAAAUUUUUAAAAGUCUUAUAACUUUUUAUUUUUGUCCUCACUGGCCUCCAAGUUUUCUAGGAUGAUGCAAUGUCCAGCCAUCAACACAUUUGUGAAGGAAUUUUUACUCCCUAAAAGAGCGCCCCCCCAUGGCAGGAGAAAAAAGUCCAUUUUUUCUUGUCCCCUAAGGUGAAAAUACACAUUGUUGACUGUCACGCCUGUACGCUUUGGCAAAAUGACACAAAAAUUGACAAUCAUGUGUAUCUCAAUUAGAUCUACGAAAAAGUCAAGAGCGCGUAUCUGUAUAAUGUACGGUAAAAGGGCUAUUUUGCAUUUUUUGCCGAUUCGCACAUAUUGGAAUUUCGCUAACUCCUCCUAAGGCUUUCGUCCCACUGACACCAAAUUUGCUCAGGCCAAUCUACACUCCAUGGCCAUUCAAAGUUGUAAAAAUCAUGACGCGGCACCCCACGGUUUACGUUUUAGGGGGCGCCAAAGAUGACCCAAAUAUACAUUACAGUAGACAAAGUAGUUUUGCCCACUGAGUGGCGCCAAAGGGACUUGUCUGUGGAGUCUGUGAGUCACUAUUGGCCGUUUUUGACUACUUUAGAUUUUACCUUUAUAUUUCCUCUUACAAAAUUUUUACCUUGCCUUGCCUGGUAUCAUUUUUUUCAGCACAACCUCACCUGUGUCAAUUUACAGUUAUUUUAUCAUUUUGACAUACUAUAUUUACACAUUGGACCCAAAUUCACACACAAAACAUAAAAUCCGAGUGGAAAAAAGUAACGUUUUUACUGUGAAAACCACAAAUAUGUGUGAUGAACUGUUUUUAAAACUUAAACUUCAAAUAAAAAUUGUAAACUUCAAAACAUAUGCAAAUUUUUAACAAAGAACAUAGUAAUUUACCUCUAUUUACAUCAAAAUGCAGGCAAUGGCCCAGGUGUUCUUUGUAAAAUUAUUUACAAAACACUGUAUAGUCUCACAAAUGUCACUUUUUAUUUAUGCCACUACAAAAAAACAUGAUGUAAAUGAUGCAUGAUGUAAAACAUGAUGUAAAAAACUUGUGUAGAUCCUCCUCUAUGUCAGUCCAUGUGUAAUUUUUCCAUAAUUCUUUGUUUUUUGCAGCAUUUUUGUUAGUGUAACUGCAGAUUGUGCUGACAGUGUCUAUGGCAAAAAAAAAAAAAAACUGAAAAUGCCUCAACAUGAACCCCUGGUGGUCUCUGAGGGUGAAACCUGCUAACUGCUGCAGCUCUGUCAGCUUCAGUCUCCCAUGCAGAGCUCGGAGCGCAUGUGUGGCUCUGCACCCUUAGCAGCGUUGCUAACUCCUCAGUAAGGAAAGCCUGCUUCAUGUCAGAGUCUCUAAACUCCAGAAGAAGUCGAUAAAAGUCACUUUCUUUCUAAAAAAACGUCGUUAGGGGGUCUGAAAAGUCAUUGAAUCUAACAACAAAGUCGCUAGGUUUGCAACUACGUGUCCCAGACUGCAUCCCUGCUGAGAGUCCCUCCCUCCCUUCUCAUAUUGCAGGAAGAACGUAAGCGCCCGCCCCUUGUCAAUCAGUCACCAUAUAAUUUUGGAUUGGUUGUUGUGGUGAAGUUUUCCACCAAUAGGAGAGAUGUUGUGGUGUGUUUUUUUUUUCCUUUGGCAAGCCUUUUCCGCCUGUAAGACCUGUCGCUAAUGUCUGCAUGCUAUGUUUUCCUGUCUCAUACAGCGCGAUCGAGCGCCGAACGUGAUCAAAAUAAGCAGAAAAAAAGUAUCGCGGACAUAAUUUAUCAUAACUCUGGUUUUAUUUGGCCUAUCAACACAAUUUAAAAACUGGUAUAUAGGUUGAGGUCCUCACUUUUGAGAUAAGUUGAAACGGAGAGUCAACGAGGCUCCGUCUUGCAGCUACAUCCGGUUAAAUAUGUCAUGUGACUUGAACUCACACACACACACACACACACACACACACACACACACACACACACACACACACACACAGACACACACACACACGCACACACACACACUCAGAGUCUGGUUUUUAGCACCUGCAAAAACAUGCUAUUUACAUAUUUGACAAGAAUGCAGAGGCUCCUUUUGCCCCUGAAAAAAAUCAAAUUUCAAACACAACUUGACUGGUCAUUUCUCCAAAAGACAACCAUGAAGCUCCAUCCAAACCUGAAGCAGGCAGUUGAUGCAUGUGUACAGUAACCUGAGGGGAGUGAGGUGACUGCUUCUGAGGAGAACAUGAGCAGUGAAGAUUCACCUUAGAGCUAGAACAGAGACGUGCACAUGAUUAUACAGGGGCAGGGGCUCAAGUUUUUACCAGUUGUUUAUACAAUAUGGAAAUUAAUGUGAAAUUAAAAAACAAAGUAUUAAUAGAAAGGUAAUGACUGUCCUGUGUAGGUGACAGUGAUAUCCAAUAGGCUAGGCACUCACGAGGCUGGCUGUGGCAAGUGUAAGUGAAAGCAACACGCACUGGCAGGAAGAACAGCAAACGCCGAUGAAGGAAAAGGGUCUUUGCAGUGAUGGGCGUUACCAGAGAGGGCGAUGGCCAGAGGACACAAAUGGGACGGGGAGGCAGCGCGUUGGGGGGGGGACGCGACACAGCUCGGGCCCGCCAGUGCCCCAACGGGGUCCUAGUUCUUUCUUUCUUCUUAUUUUUCCUCCCCUUUGAAGGGGAAAAUGGCCCACUUCCCACUGGCGAAAACUCAGGAAAUUUGGCAGGACGACCGGGCCUGGUGAAAAAUUCGAUAUUCUGAAGUCGCCCAAACAAUAAAAUGCAAAAUGGCUCCAUAGCGCCCCCUAAGGUGAAAAUUCACACUAUUGACUGUCACGCCUGUACGCUUUGUCAUAUUGACACAAAAAUUGACACACACAUGUAUCUCAAUAAGAUCUACAAAAAAGUCAGUGCGGGCGUAUCUGUCAAAUGUACGGUUAAAGGGUUAUUUCGCAUUUUUUGCAGAUCCGCACACAUUGGAAUUUCGCUAACUCCUCCGAAGGCUUUCGUUCCACUGGCACCACAUUUGCUCAGGCCAAUCUACACUCCAUGGCCAUUCAAAGUUGUACAAAUCAUGAUGCUGCACUCCAUGGUUUAGGUUCUAGGGGGCGCCAAAAAUAACCCAAAAAUCCACAUUCUUAAAAGUGUUAUAACUUUUUAUUUUUGUCCUCACUGGCCUCCAAGUUUUCUAGGAUGAUGCAAUGUCCAGCCAUCAACACAUUUGUAAAGGAAUUUUUACUCCCCAAAAGAGCGCCCCCCCAUGGCAGGACAAAAAAUCAAUUUUUUCUUGUCCCCUAAGGUGAAAAUACACAUUGUUGAGAUUCACGCCUGUAUGCUUUGUCAAAAUGACACAAAAUUUGACACACACGUGUAUCUCAAUAAGAUCUACGAAAAAGUCAAUGCGCGCGUAUCUGUAAAAUGUACGGCUAAACGGCUAUUUUGCAUUUUUUGCCGAUUCGCACACAUUGGAAUGUGGCUAACUCCUCCUAAGGCUUCCGUCCCACUGACACCAAAUUUGCUCAGGCCAAUCUACACCCCAUGGCCAGUCAAAGUUGUAAAAAUCAUGCCGCUGCACCCCAUGGUUUACGUUCUAGGGGGCGCCAAAGAUGACCCAAAUAUCCACAUUCUUAAAAGUCGUUUUGGCCACUGCAGGAGUACAGAGUACUGCAGGAUACACACACACAGACACACACACACACAGACACACACACACACACACACACACACACACACACACACACACACACACACACACACACACACAUACACACUCAGAGUCUGUUUUUUAGCACCUGCAAAAACAUGCUAUUUACAUAUUUGACAACAAUGCAGAGACUUCCUUUUGCCCCUGAAAAAAAUGAAAUUUCAAACACAACUUGACUGCUCAUUUCUCCAAAAGACAUCCAUGAAGCUCCAUCCAAACCUGAAGCAGGCAGUUGGUGCAUGUGUACAGUAACCUGAGGGGAGUGAGGUGACUGCUUCUGAGGAGAACAUGAGCAGUCAAGAUUCACCUUGGAGCUAGAACAGGGACGUGCACAUGAUUAUACAGGGGCAGGGGCUCAAGUUUUUUCCAGUCGUUUAUACAAUAUGGAAAUUAAUGUGAAAUUAAAAAACAAAGUAUUAAUAGAAAGGUAAUGACUGUCCUGUGUAGGUGACAGUGAUAUCCAAUAGGCUAGGCACUCACGAGGCUGGCUGUGGCAAGUGCAAGUGAAAGCCACACGCACUGGCAGGAAGAACGCCGAUGAAGGAAAAGGGUCUUCGCAGUGAUGGGCGUUACCAGAGAGGGCGAUGGCCAGAGGACGCGAAUGGGACGGGGAGGCAGCGCGUUGGGGGGGGGGGGGGGGGGGGGGGCGACACAGCUCGGGCCCGCCAGUGCCCCAACGGGGCCCUAGUUAGGGCCCGAGCGUAGCUGCUAAGCAGCUGCGAGAGCCCUCUUGUUCCUGAUGGAUUCUUCUUUCGUUAUUUUUCCUCCGCUUUAAACUGGAAAAUGGCCCACUUCCCACUGGCGAAAACUCAGGAAAUUUGGCAGGACGACCGGGCCUGGUGAAAAAUUUGAUAUUCUGAAGUCGUCCAAACAAAAAAAAUGAAAAAUGGCUCCAUAGCGCCCCCUAUGGUGAAAACUCACCUGAUGCCUGUACGCUUUGUCAAAAUGACACAAAAUUUGACACACAUGUGUAUCUCAAUAAGAUCUACGAAAAAGUCAGCGCGGGCGUAUCUGUCAAAUGUACGGUUAAAGGGCUAUUUCGCUUUUUUUGCCGAUCCGCACACAUUGGAAUUUCGCUAACUCCUCCGAAGGCUUUCGUUCCACCGGCACCAAAUUUGCUCAGGCCAAUCUACACCCCAUGGCCAUUAAAAGUUGUACAAAUCAUGACGCUGCACCCCACGGUUUAGGUUCUAGGCGGCGCCAAAGAUAACCAAAAAAUCCACAUUCUUAAAAGUCUUAUAACUUUUUAUUUUUGUCCUCACUGGCCUCCAAGGUUUCUAGGAUGAUGCAAUGUCCAGCCAUCAACUCAUUUGUGAAGGAAUUUUUACUCCCCAAAAGAGCGCCCCCCCAUGGCAGGAGAAAAAAGUCCAUUUUUUCUUGUCUCCUAAGGUAAAAAUACACAUUGUUGAGUGUCACGCCUAUACACUUUGUCAUAUUGACACACAAUUUGACAAUCACGUGUAUCUCAAUAAGAUCUACAAAAAAGUCAAUAGGCACGUAUCUGUCAAAUGUACGGUUAAAGGGCUAUUUUGCAUUUUUUGCCGAUUCGCACACAUUGGAAUGUGGCUAUCUCCUUCUAAGGCUUUCGUCCCACCGAUACCAAAUUUGCUCAGGCCAAUCUACACCCCAUGCCCAUUCAAAGUUGUAAAAAUCAUGCCGCUGCACCCCACGGUUUACGUUCUAGGGGGCGCCAAAGAUGACCCAAAAAUCCACAUUCUUAAAAGUCUUUUUGGUCACUGCAGGAGUACAGAGUACUGCAGGAUACACACACAUAUACACACACACACACACACACACACACACACACACACACACACACACACACACUCAGAGUCUGUUUUUUAGCACCUGCAAAAACAUGCUGUUUACAUAUUUGACAAGAAUGCAGAGGCUUCCUUUUGCCCCUGAAAAAAAUCAAAUUUCAAACACAACUUGACUGUUCAUUUCUCCAAAUGACAACCAUGAAGCUCCAUCCAAACCUGAAGCAGGCAGUUGGUGCAUGUGUACAGUAACCUGAGGGGAGUGAGGUGACUGCUUCUGAGGAGAACAUGAGCAGUGAAGAUUCACCUUGGAGCGAGAACAGGGACGUGCACAUGAUUAUACAGGGGCAGGGGCUCAAGUUUUUUCCAGUCGUUUAUACAAUAUGGAAAUUAAUGUGAAAUUAAAAAACAAAGUAUUAAUAGAAAGGUAAUGACUGUCCUGUGUAGGUGACAGUGAUAUCCAAUAGGCUAGGCACUCACGAGGCUGGCUGUGGCAAGUGUAAGUGAAAGCAACACGCACUGGCAGGAAGAACAGCAAACCCCGAUGAAGGAAAAGGGUCUUUGCAGUGAUGGGCGUUACCAGAGAGGACGAUGGCCAGAGGACGCGAAUGGGACGGGGAGGCAGCGCGUUGGGGGGGGGGCGCGACACAGCUCGGGCCCGCCAGUGCCCCAACGGGGCCCUAGUUAUUAUUUUUCCUCCGCUUUAAACUGGAAAAUGGCCCACUUCCCACUGGCGAAAACUCAUGAAAUUUGGCAGGACGACCGGGCCUGGUGAAAAAUUCGAUAUUCUGAAGUCACCCAAACAAUAAAAUGCAAAAUGGCUCCAUAGCGCCCCCUAAGGUGAAAAUUCACACUAUUGACUGUCACGCCUGUACGCUUUGUCAUAUUGACACAAAAAUUGACACACACAUGUAUCUCAAUAAGAUCUACAAAAAAGUCAGCACGGGCGUGUCUGUCAAAUGUACGGUUAAAGGGUUAUUUCGCAUUUUUUGCCGAUCCGCACACAUUGGAAUUUCGCUAACUCCUCCGAAGGCUUUCGUUCCACCGGCACCACAUUUGCUCAGGCCAAUCUACACCCCAUGGCCAUUAAAAGUUGUACAAAUCAUGACGCUGCACCCCACGGUUUACGUUCUAGGGGGCGCCAAAGAUAACCCAAAAAUCCACAGUCUUAAAAGUCUUAUAACUUUUUAUUUUUGUCCUCACUGGCCUCCAAGUUCUCUAGGAUGAUGCAAUGUCCAGCAAUUAACACAUUUGUGAAGGAAUUUUUACUCGCCAAAAGAGCGCCCCCCCAUGGCAGGAGAAAAAAGUCCAUUUUUUCUUGUCCCCUAAGGCGAAUAUACACACUGUUGACUGUCACGCCUGUACGCUUUGCCAUAUUGACACAAAAAUUGACACACACAUGUAUCUCAAUAAGAUCUACAAAAAAGUCAGUGCGGGCGUAUCUGUCAAAUGUACGGUUAAAGGGUUAUUUCGCAUUUUUUACCGAUCCGCACACAUUGAAAUUUCGCUAACUCCUCCGAAGGCUUUCGUUCCACCGGCACCACAUUUGCUCAGGCCAAUCUACACCCCAUGGCCAUCGAAAGUUGUACAAAUCAUGACGCUGCACCCCACGGUUUAGGUUCUAGGGGGCGCCAAAGAUAACCAAAAAAUCCACAUUCUUAAAAGUCUUAUAACUUUUUAUUUUUUUCCUCACUGGCCUCCAAGUUCUCUAGGAUGAUGCAAUGUCCAGCCAUCAACACAUUUGUGAAGGAAUUUUUACUCCCCAAAAGAGCGCCCCCACAUGGCAGGAGAAAAAAGUCCAUUUUUUCUUGUCCCCUAAGGUGAAAAUACACAUUGUUGACUGUCACGCCUGUACGCUUUGUCAUAUUGACACAAAAAUUGACACACACAUGUAUCUCAAUAAGAUCUACGAAAAAGUCAAUGGGCACGUAUCUGUAAAAUGUACGGUUAAAGGGCUAUUUUGCAUUUUUUGCUGAUUCGCACACAUUGGAAUGUGGCUAACUCGUCCUACAGCUUUCGUCCCACUGACACCAAAUUUGCUCAGGCUAAUCUACACCCCAUGGCCAUUCAAAGUUGUAAAAAUCAUGACGCUGCACCCCACGGUUUAGGUUCUAGGGGGCGCCAAAGAUGACCCAAAUAUCCAUAUUCUUAAAAGUGUUAUAACUUUUUAUUUUUGUCCUCACUGGCCUCCAAGUUUUCUAGGAUGAUGCAAUGUCCAGCCAUCAACACAUCUGUAAAGGAAUUUUUACUCCUGAAAAAGAGCGCCCCCCCAUGGCAGGAGAAAAGAGUCCAUUUUUUCUUGUCCCCUAAGGUGAAAAAACACAUUGUUGACUGUCACGCCUAUACGCUUUGUCAAAAUGACACAAAAUUUGACACACACGUGUAUCUCAAUAAGAUCUACGAAAAAGUCAAUGGGCACGUAUCUGUAAAAUGUACGGUUAAAGGGCUAUUUCGCAUUUUUUGCCGAUUCGCACACAUUGGAAUGUGGCUAACUCCUCCUAAGGCUUUC
Xyrichtys novacula (pearly razorfish) is the source of this 31709-nucleotide non-coding RNA. The record is from the annotation of a GenBank genome assembly. Lineage: Eukaryota; Metazoa; Chordata; Actinopteri; Labriformes; Labridae.